Molecule: non-coding RNA, 68 nt
Organism: Potamilus streckersoni
Lineage: Eukaryota; Metazoa; Mollusca; Bivalvia; Unionida; Unionidae
Source: the annotation of a GenBank genome assembly
GGUAGCCUCGUGGUUGGAGCGUCCGCUUUGUAUGUGGGAGGUCACGGGUUCAAACCCUGACAGAGUCG